GUGCUCGCUUCAGUAACACAUAUACUACAACUGGAACGACACAGACAUUAGCCUGGCCCCUGCGCAAGGAUGACACACAAAUUCAUGGAGCGUUCCAUAUUUUU
Small nuclear RNA from Gorilla gorilla gorilla (western lowland gorilla), 104 nucleotides. NCBI's taxonomy places the organism in Eukaryota, Metazoa, Chordata, Mammalia, Primates, Hominidae. The record is from Ensembl.